GUUACCGUAGCUUAAGUCAAAGCACGGCACUGAAGAUGCCAAGAUGGCCCCCCUCGCCCGGAAACA
Molecule: transfer RNA, 66 nt
Filed under: Bipes canaliculatus
Lineage: Eukaryota; Metazoa; Chordata; Lepidosauria; Squamata; Bipedidae
Description: tRNA-Phe
Source: RNAcentral